RNAcentral lists this ribosomal RNA (253 nucleotides) under uncultured bacterium. Its description in RNAcentral is "partial 16S ribosomal RNA". It matches the Rfam family "Bacterial small subunit ribosomal RNA", at positions 524 to 776 of the family's 1533-position model. The record is from RNAcentral.
UACGUAGGGCGCAAGCGUUGUCCGGAAUUAUUGGGCGUAAAGAGCGUGUAGGCGGCCUGACAGGUCUGCUGUGAAAACUCGAGGCUCAACCUCCAGCCUGCAGUGGGUACGGGCAGACUAGAGUGCGGUAGGGGAGAUUGGAAUUCCUGGUGUAGCGGUGGAAUGCGCAGAUAUCAGGAGGAACACCGAUGGCGAAGGCAGAUCUCUGGGCCGUAACUGACGCUGAGGAGCGAAAGCAUGGGGAGCGAACAGG